CCUUAGAGUUUGAUCCUGGCUCAGGAUGAACUUUAGCGAUAGGCCUAACACAUGCAAGUCGAGGGGUAACAGGGUAGCAAUACCGCUGACGACCGGCAAAUGGGUGAGUAACGCGUAUGCAACCUACCGAUAACAGUUGGAUAGCUCCCUGAAAGGGGAAUUAAACUGGCAUGAUACUAUUUAAUCGCCUGUUUAGAUAGUUAAAUAUUUAUAGGUUAUCGAUGGGCAUGCGUGACAUUAGCAAGUUGGUGAGGUAACGGCUCACCAAUGCUACGAUGUCUAGGGGUUCUGAGAGGAAGGUCCCCCACACUGGUACUGAGACACGGACCAGACUCCUACGGGAGGCAGCAGUGAGGAAUAUUGGUCAAUGGACGGAAGUCUGAACCAGCCACUUCGCGUGCAGGAUGACUGCCCUAUGGGUUGUAAACUGCUUUUAUAUAAGAGGAACAGUAUUUAUGUAUAGAUAUUUGCCAGUAUUAUAUGAAUAAGGAUCGGCUAACUCCGUGCCAGCAGCCGCGGUAAUACGGAGGAUCCGAGCGUUAUCCGGAUUUAUUGGGUUUAAAGGGUGAGUAGGCGGUAGUAUAAGUCAGCGGUGAAAACUUGCAGCUCAACUGUAAGCUUGCCGUUGAAACUGUAUUACUUGAGUUAAGUUGAGGUAUGCGGAAUGUGGUGUGUAGCGGUGAAAUGCAUAGAUAUACCACAGAACGUCGAUUGCGAAGGCAGCAUACUAAGUUUAUACUGACGCUGAUGCACGAAAGCGUGGGGAUCAAAAAGGAUUAGAUACCCUGGUAGUCCACGCCGUAAACUCUUAAAAGGGCGUUGUUUGCGAUAUAACUGUAAGCGACUGCGCGAAAGCAUUAAGUAAUCCACCUGGAGAGUACGUUGGCAACAAUGAAACUCAAAGGAAUUGACGGGGGCCCGCACAAGCGGAGGAACAUGUGGUUUAAUUCGAUGAUACGCGAGGAACCUUACCUGGGCUUAAAUGGGAAGUGACAGUUUUGGAAACAAAAUUUUCUUCGGACACUUUUCAAGGUGCUGCAUGGUUGUCGUCAGCUCGUGCCGUGAGGUGUCGGGUUAAGUCCCAUAACGAGCGCAACCCUUGUCGAUAGUUGCCAGCAUGUAAUGAUGGGGACUCUAUCGAGACUGCCGGUGUAAACCGUGAGGAAGGUGGGGAUGACGUCAAAUCAGCACGGCCCUUACGUCCAGGGCUACACACGUGUUACAAUGGUCGGUACAAUGGGCAGCUACUCAGCGAUGAGAUGCUAAUCUUCAAAACCGAUCUCAGUUCGGAUCGGAGUCUGCAACUCGACUCCGUGAAGCUGGAUUCGCUAGUAAUCGCAUAUCAGCCAUGAUGCGGUGAAUACGUUCCCGGGCCUUGUACUAACGGCCCGUCAAG
Molecule: ribosomal RNA, 1396 nt
Filed under: uncultured bacterium
Lineage: Bacteria
Description: bacterial SSU rRNA
Rfam family: Bacterial small subunit ribosomal RNA
Source: RNAcentral